RNAcentral lists this ribosomal RNA (434 nucleotides) under uncultured bacterium. RNAcentral's name for it is "partial 16S ribosomal RNA". It matches the Rfam family "Bacterial small subunit ribosomal RNA", at positions 29 to 507 of the family's 1533-position model. The record is from RNAcentral.
AGCGAACGCUGGCGGCAGGCCUAACACAUGCAAGUCGAACGAACCUUUCGGGGUUAGUGGCGGACGGGUGAGUAACACGUGGGAACGUGCCUUUAGGUUCGGAAUAACUCAGGGAAACUUGUGCUAAUACCGAAUGUGCCCUUCGGGGGAAAGAUUUAUCGCCUUUAGAGCGGCCCGCGUCUGAUUAGCUAGUUGGUUGAGGUAAUGGCUCACCAAGGCGACGAUCAGUAGCUGGUCUGAGAGGAUGAUCAGCCACAUUGGGACUGAGACACGGCCCCAAAUCCUACGGGAGGCAGCAGUGGGGAAUCUUGCGGAAUGGGCGAAAGCCUGACGCAGCCAUGCCGCGUGAAUGAUGAAGGUCUUAGGAUUGUAAAAUUCUUUCACCGGGGACGAUAAUGACGGUACCCGGAGAAGAAGCCCCGGCUAACUUCGUG